UACAGAGGUCUCAAGCGUUGUUCGGAUUCAUUGGGCGUAAAGGGUGCGUAGGCGGCGCGGUAAGUCGGGUGUGAAAUCUCGGAGCUUAACUCCGAAACUGCAUUCGAUACUGCCGUGCUUGAGGACUGGAGAGGAGACUGGAAUUUACGGUGUAGCGGUGAAAUGCGUAGAUAUCGUAAGGAAGACCAGUGGCGAAGGCGAGUCUCUGGACAGUUACCGACGCUGAGGCACGAAGGCCAGGGGAGCAAACGGG
This 253-nucleotide ribosomal RNA is filed under the name uncultured bacterium. RNAcentral describes it as "partial 16S ribosomal RNA". It matches the Rfam family "Bacterial small subunit ribosomal RNA", at positions 524 to 776 of the family's 1533-position model. The record is from RNAcentral.